RNAcentral lists this ribosomal RNA (460 nucleotides) under uncultured bacterium. RNAcentral's name for it is "partial 16S ribosomal RNA". It matches the Rfam family "Bacterial small subunit ribosomal RNA", at positions 338 to 795 of the family's 1533-position model. The record is from RNAcentral.
CCUACGGGCGGCAGCAGUGAGGAAUAUUGGUCAAUGGACGAGAGUCUGAACCAGCCAAGUCGCGUGAAGGAUGACUGCCCUAUGGGUUGUAAACUUCUUUUAUAUGGGAAUAAAAUGUUCCACGUGUGGGAUUUUGUAUGUACCAUAUGAAUAAGGAUCGGCUCACUCCGUGCCAGCCGCCGCGGUAAUACGGAGGAUCCGAGCGUUAUCCGGAUUUAUUGGGUUUAAAGGGAGCGUAGGUGGGUUGUUAAGUCAGUUGUGAAAGUUUGCGGCUAAACCGUAAAAUUGCAGUUGAAACUGGCAGUCUUGAGUACAGUAGAGGGAGGCGGAAUUCGUGGUGUAGCGGUGAAAUGCUUAGAUAUCACGAAGAACUCCGAUUGCGAAGGCAGCUCACUGGACUGCAACUGACACUUAGGCUCGAAAGCGUGGGUAUCAAACAGGAUUAGAUACCCCUGUAGUC